GGUAGUGUGGCUGAGUGGUCCAAGGUGCUAGAUUUAGGCUCUAGUCUCUCAAGAGGCGUGGGUUCGAAGCCCACCACUGCCA
This is a non-coding RNA of Corythoichthys intestinalis (scribbled pipefish), 82 nucleotides long. The record is from the annotation of a RefSeq genome assembly. Lineage: Eukaryota; Metazoa; Chordata; Actinopteri; Syngnathiformes; Syngnathidae.